AUGCGAAACCUUUUCAAGAUGUCUGACCUGGGAUUGCUCAGUUUCUACCUAGGGAUUGAGGUGAAGCAGGGCGCGGACGACAUCAUCAUUAGUCAGAGCGCGUAUGCACGGAAACUGCUCGAGAAGAGCGGCAUGGCAGGAUGCAAGGUGUGUCACACACCCAUGGAGCCACGGUUCAAGCUGUCCAAACAGAGCACAUCACCGGCAGUUGAUGCAACAGAGUAUCGCAGCAUCGUCGGCAGCCUGCGCUACUUGGUGCACACGCGCCCUGAUCUGACCUUCUCUGUCGGAUACGUGUCGCGUUUCAUGGAAGCACCAACAGAAGAGCAUUGCACCACCGUCAAGCACAUUCUGAGGUAUAUCGCCGGCACCCUACAGCAGGGGUGCAAGUACACCAGAGGGAAGGGCAUGGCCUAG
This 417-nucleotide ribosomal RNA is filed under the name Triticum aestivum (bread wheat). Its description in RNAcentral is "partial small subunit ribosomal RNA". Lineage: Eukaryota; Viridiplantae; Streptophyta; Magnoliopsida; Poales; Poaceae. The record is from RNAcentral.